AAAGCUCAAAUUUAAAAUCUGGCAGUCUUUGGCUGUCCGAGUUGUAAUCUAGAGAAGUGCUAUCCGCGCUGGACCGUGUAUAAGUCUCCUGGAACGGAGCGUCGUAGAGGGUGAGAAUCCCGUCUUUGACACGGACUACCAGGGCUUUGUGAUGCGCUCUCAAAGAGUCGAGUUGUUUGGGAAUGCAGCUCUAAAUGGGUGGUAAAUUCCAUCUAAAGCUAAAUAUUGGCGAGAGACCGAUAGCGAA
RNAcentral lists this ribosomal RNA (247 nucleotides) under Tricholomataceae sp. 3 CRJH-2017. RNAcentral describes it as "partial 28S ribosomal RNA". It matches the Rfam family "Eukaryotic large subunit ribosomal RNA", at positions 104 to 344 of the family's 3401-position model. The record is from RNAcentral. Lineage: Eukaryota; Fungi; Basidiomycota; Agaricomycetes; Agaricales; Tricholomataceae.